This 468-nucleotide ribosomal RNA is filed under the name uncultured bacterium. RNAcentral describes it as "partial 16S ribosomal RNA". It matches the Rfam family "Bacterial small subunit ribosomal RNA", at positions 28 to 507 of the family's 1533-position model. The record is from RNAcentral.
GACGAACGCUGGCGGCGUGCUUAACACAUGCAAGUCGAACGGAAAGGCCCCGCUUUUGUGGGGUGCUCGAGUGGCGAACGGGUGUGUAACACGUGAGUAACCCGCCCUUGACUGUGGUAUAACUUCAGGAAACUGGGGAUAAUACCGGACAGCAUCUCCCGCUGCGUGGUGGGGGUGGGAAAGUUUAGGCGGUUGGGGAUGGACUCGCGGCUUAUCAGCUUGUUGGUGGGGUAGUGGCUUACCAAGGCGUUGACGGGUAGCCGGCCUGAGAGGGUGACCGGCCACAUUGGGCCUGAGAUACGGCCCGGACUCCUACGGGAGGCAGCGGUGGGGAAUAUUGCACAAUGGGCGGAAGCCUGAUGCACCAACGCCGCGGGCGGGAUGACGGCCUUCGGGUUGUAACCCGCUUUCGCCUGUGACGAGGCGUGAGUGACGGUAAUGGGUGAAGAAGCACCGGCUAACUACGUG